This is an RNA transcript of Vicia villosa (hairy vetch), 2683 nucleotides long. It is a transcript of the gene named B3 domain-containing protein REM23-like, with no coding region annotated. The record is from RefSeq and is a predicted model, not a curated record. The transcript is spliced from 6 exons. Lineage: Eukaryota; Viridiplantae; Streptophyta; Magnoliopsida; Fabales; Fabaceae.
UUUUCAUUUGUUUUUUUUCUUAUUAAACAUUAAUUUAUUCAUAAUUAUAUUUUUUUAACUAUAAAAUGAUUGAAUAAACAAAUCACAAACAGAACUCUUAAUCUGUUACAAAGUAACUUGUAAAUGAUGAAUUUAUUUAUUUUUUAUUUUGUAGGUAGAAACAAAGGUGUGAUUAAGAAGGCCAAGAAAUGUUCAAACAUAGGAAAUAUUGAUGAUGGGAGAGUUAAUAAGGAGAUUCCAUAUUUUGAAGUCACAUUGACACCAACUUAUGUCAAUUAUUAUAGUAUGAGGAUACCAAAUGUGUUUUCAAGAAAAUAUUUGAAAGAGACGGAAGAAAUUGCAAUCUUGAAAGUUGGGGAGGACAUGACUAUGGAAGUGGGGUUCAGGUUUGAUGCUAAUGCCAAAGGAAUGGUUUUUCAAAAUGGUUGGAAGAAUUUUUCACAAAAAUAUAAUUUACAAAUUGGUGAUAUUUGUAAAUUUGUGAUGACACAAUCCAAACCACUUUUAUUUUCCAUUGCUAUUACUCGAGCCAAAAUGGAAUCAAAACCUAAGAAGUUCCAAGGUGUCUCUUCGGGUGAUGAUACAAUUCCAAAAAGAAAAAGCAUUGGAGAAAGUUCUAGAGGUAGAGGUCGCCCAAAAAAACAUGUUUCCAAAGAUAUGGUGUGAAGGUCCAAAUUUGUUGGGAGUUCAAUGCAACAACCUUAACAAGAGAGUUGUAGCACAAGACUUGCACUAUCAAGAUCUAUGGAGUACAGCCAUCUGUAAGUAAUGUGCUCAGUGGUGGUAAAUCAGGAAUCAGUGAAAUGCGAUUGAUUUGUUGAUAUUGGUACGUAGAUAAAACUGUUGAAAUUGUUUCAUUUAGAGCAUAAUAUAAUUAUUUUCUUCACAUUGUCGAUCUAAAUCAACCAUGUCACUCUUUGCAAUGUGUAAUAAAUUGUCUUUCACUCUAGAAGAUUAUCAUAAGUAAAGUAUUUGAAUGUAACUACAUGUGUUGGUGUCAUCGAUUACAGGUGCAUAACUGUGGUUACAUAUGUUCACAUGAUUUGUUGUUUAAGCAUCCAUAUGUAAAAUACGGUUAAAAUUUUGUAGAACAAUGUUAUUUAGUACUCUCUUCUUAUGUCUUGAAUUUGUAGGAAUCGAUGAAAUGCGAUUGAUUUGUUAAUAUUGGUAUGUAGAUAAAACCAUUGAAAUUGUUUUAUUUAGAGCAUAUAUAAUUAUUUUCUUCACAUUGUCGAUCUAAAUCAACCAUGUCACUCUUUGCAAUAUGUUUUACAAUUCUUGCCAAACCCUCCGCCGCAAUUGCAAAUAAAAACGGCGAUAGCGGACCCCCCUGCCUCAAUCCUCUCUUGACUAAGAAUUCUUCCGUAGGGCUUCCAUUAACUAAUACAGACAUGCUGCUGGAAAAAAUUCCAGCCUCCAACCAGCUUAACCAUUUUUGACCAAAUCCCAUUUUGACCAUGACACCACGCAAAUAUUUCCAAUCAACACAAUCAUAAGCUUGAGAAAAAUCGACUUUAAACAUAAUGCAGCUCCUUCUUUCUCUUCUCGCAAAGUCAAUCAACUCAUUAGUUGCAACAAUGCCAUCAAGUAUCUUCCUACCGGGGAAACAUGUUUGGGUUUCGGAAACAAUCUUCCCGUUCACUUUGCUGAGUCUUGCUGCUAGAAUCUUGGAAACCACUUUAUACAAGCAUCCUAUCAAGCAAAUGGGACGAUAAUCGUCUUGGCGUUAAAGAUUCUCAACUUUAGGAAUCGGCGCAAGAAAAGAGGAAGUCAUUGCCUUAGGUAACUUUGAUAUCUUAUGAAACUCCUGAAUGAAAUCAAUUAUAUCUCCUCCAACAAUACUCCAGCAUUUUUUGAUAAAUUUCAUGUUGAAUCCAUCGGGACCAGGACUUUUAUCCCCAUAACAGUCCAAAAUAACAUCUUCAAUCUCUUCUUUUGUAAAAAAAUCCUCCAAUCUCAUGUUGUCCUCAGCUGUCAAAGAAUUAAAUUCCAAUCCAUUGAUAUUUGGUCUGAUGUCAGUCUGCUCCUUAAACCGUUCAGCAAAAUGCAGUUUAAUCUCAUGCUUCACCUCUUCCAUAGAACUAACCACCCCACUACUCGUGCUAAUCUCCACAAUUGCAUUCCUUCUGUACCAAGCCUUCAUGAUUGAGUGAAAAUACCUUGUGUUGAACUCUCCCUCUUAUACCCACUUUUGCCUAGAUUUCUAUCUUAGAAUACACUCCUUUAAUUGCAGACAGUUCCAAAUUGAUUCAGACUUAGCUUUCCUCAAGUCUUGCAUAUCUUGUGAUAUUAAAGUUCUGGAAUUUUCCAUUUCCAACUCAAGAUCAUUUUAGACAUCAACAUUUCUCUCCACCUUUAAAUCAAUCCACCCAAAUACGUUUUCAUUCCACCACUUUAACCUCACCUCCAACCUCUUAAAUUUUUCUUUGAUUACAAUUGAUUUCUUGCCCUGGAUCACAAAUGACUCCCAUUCUUUCUUGACAAACGAUAGGAAUUCCGGAUCGUCAUACCAGGCAGACCUAUGAUCCGAGACAGACCUAUGAUCCGAGACAUCCUUAUUUCCAUAAGAUUGAGCCACGACAUUCCAACUCUGAAUAAUUCCUUCAGAUAAUAGGAACCUAUCUCCACGACUGCUAGAAAUUGUUUUAAUGUAUGCAUACAUAUAUGUAUAUGAAUAGUAAUA